RNAcentral lists this ribosomal RNA (543 nucleotides) under uncultured Ascomycota. RNAcentral describes it as "SSU rRNA". It matches the Rfam family "Eukaryotic small subunit ribosomal RNA", at positions 549 to 1098 of the family's 1831-position model. Lineage: Eukaryota; Fungi; Ascomycota. The record is from RNAcentral.
UGGAGGGCAAGUCUGGUGCCAGCAGCCGCGGUAAUUCCAGCUCCAAUAGCGUAUAUUAAAGUUGUUGUGGUUAAAAAGCUCGUAGUUGAACCUUGGGCCUGGCUGGCCGGUCCGCCUCACCGCGUGUACUGGUCCGGCCGGGCCUUUCCCUCUGUGGAACCCCAUGCCCUUCACCGGGUGUGGCGGGGAAACAGGACUUUUACUUUGAAAAAAUUAGAGUGCUCCAGGCAGGCCUAUGCUCGAAUACAUUAGCAUGGAAUAAUAGAAUAGGACGUGUGGUUCUAUUUUGUUGGUUUCUAGGACCGCCGUAAUGAUUAAUAGGGACAGUCGGGGGCAUCAGUAUUCAAUUGUCAGAGGUGAAAUUCUUGGAUUUAUUGAAGACUAACUACUGCGAAAGCAUUUGCCAAGGAUGUUUCCAUUAAUCAGGAACGAAAGUUAGGGGAUCGAAGACGAUCAGAUACCGUCGUAGUCUUAACCAUAAACUAUGCCGACUAGGGAUCGGACGAUGUUAUUUUUUGACUCGUUUGGCACCUUACGGGAAAC